GAGUUUGAUCGUGGCUCAGAGUGAACGCUGGCGGCAGGCCUAACACAUGCAAGUCGAACGGCAGCACAGCAGUAGCAAUACUGUGGGUGGCGAGUGGCGGACGGGUGAGGAAUACAUGGGAAUCUGCCCUGUCGUGGGGGAUAACGUAGGGAAACUUACGCUAAUACCGCAUACGACCGAGAGGUGAAAGCGGCGGACCGCAAGGCGUCGCGCGAUUGGAUGAGCCCAUGUCGGAUUAGCUAGUUGGCGGGGUAAAGGCCCACCAAGGCGACGAUCCGUAGCUGGUCUGAGAGGAUGAUCAGCCACACUGGAACUGAGACACGGUCCAGA
Molecule: ribosomal RNA, 330 nt
Filed under: uncultured Gammaproteobacteria bacterium
Lineage: Bacteria; Pseudomonadati; Pseudomonadota; Gammaproteobacteria
Description: bacterial SSU rRNA
Rfam family: Bacterial small subunit ribosomal RNA
Source: RNAcentral